Molecule: ribosomal RNA, 292 nt
Filed under: uncultured bacterium
Lineage: Bacteria
Description: partial 16S ribosomal RNA
Rfam family: Bacterial small subunit ribosomal RNA
Source: RNAcentral
GUGCCAGCAGCCGCGGUAAUACAGAGGUGGCAAGCGUUGUUCGGAAUUACUGGGCGUAAAGGGCGCGUAGGCGGUUCGUCAAGUCCCGUGUGAAAUCCCUCGGCUCAACCGAGGAACUGCGCGGGAAACUAGUGAGCUUGAGUUCGGGAGAGGGAAGCGGAAUUCCGGGUGUAGCGGUGAAAUGCGCAGAUAUCCGGAGGAACACCGGUGGCGAAGGCGGCUUCCUGGACCGACACUGACGCUGAGGCGCGAAAGCUAGGGGAGCAAACGGGAUUAGAUACCCUGGUAGUCC